CCCACUGGACCCGUCAUUCACUGGUCCAGCUCCUAUUCUCCUAGGCGUGUGAGUUGUCGGACCAGGGUGAGGCCUCUGUCCCUCUGGUUUCUUCACAAAAUUUUUGAGGUGCCCUCUUUUUAUCAGCCUCUCAAUCUCCGCGAUUAACUGAAAACAGUUGUUCGUAUCGUGCCCAUGGCUCCGGUGGUACUGACAAUACUUGUCAGGAUUUCUUUGAUCUGCUUCCGACUUCAUGGGUUUGGGCCACUGGAG
RNAcentral lists this long non-coding RNA (252 nucleotides) under Manihot esculenta (cassava). Its description in RNAcentral is "long non-coding RNA (MESC_LNC002962)". Lineage: Eukaryota; Viridiplantae; Streptophyta; Magnoliopsida; Malpighiales; Euphorbiaceae. The record is from RNAcentral.